RNAcentral lists this transfer RNA (88 nucleotides) under Actinomycetota bacterium. RNAcentral describes it as "tRNA-Ala". It matches the Rfam family "tRNA". Rfam says of the family: Transfer RNA (tRNA) molecules are approximately 80 nucleotides in length. Their secondary structure includes four short double-helical elements and three loops (D, anti-codon, and T loops). Lineage: Bacteria; Bacillati; Actinomycetota. The record is from RNAcentral.
GGAGUUUCUGAACACUGGCGAACACCAGCGACAGUAUGACUCCGCCUUUGCACGGCGGAGGUCAGGGGUUCGAAUCCCCUCGGCUCCA